RNAcentral lists this ribosomal RNA (254 nucleotides) under uncultured bacterium. RNAcentral's name for it is "partial 16S ribosomal RNA". It matches the Rfam family "Bacterial small subunit ribosomal RNA", at positions 524 to 776 of the family's 1533-position model. The record is from RNAcentral.
UACGUAGGGUGCAAGCGUUAAUCGGAAUUACUGGGCGUAAAGCGUGUGUAGGCGGCCGCGACAGUCGGAUGUGAAAGCCCUGGGCUCAACUCAGGAAGUGCACCCGAUACUACGUGGCUAGAGUACCGGAGAGGUUGGUAGAAUUCUCGGUGUAGAGGUGAAAUUCGUAGAUAUCGAGAGGAAUACCUGUGGCGAAGGCGGCCAACUGGACGGAGUACUGACGCUGAGACACGAAAGCGUGGGGAGCAAACAGG